UACAGAGGGUGCGAGCGUUGUCCGGAAUCACUGGGCGUAAAGGGCGCGUAGGCGGCCUGGUAAGUCGAUGGUGAAAGCCCGAGGCUCAACUUCGGGUCGGCCACUGAUACUGCUGGGCUUGAGUCGACUAGAGGCAGAUGGAAUUCCGGGUGUAGCGGUGGAAUGCGUAGAGAUCCGGAAGAACACCGGUGGCGAAGGCGGUCUGCUGGGGUCGAACUGACGCUGAGGCGCGACAGCGUGGGGAGCAAACAGG
RNAcentral lists this ribosomal RNA (253 nucleotides) under uncultured bacterium. RNAcentral describes it as "partial 16S ribosomal RNA". It matches the Rfam family "Bacterial small subunit ribosomal RNA", at positions 524 to 776 of the family's 1533-position model. The record is from RNAcentral.